UGAGAUUAUGGACAAAACCAACUUUUUAAGCUAUUCUCAAAAACUAUAAUGGAUGGCUAUGAUAUAUUGUUACACUGAGGCUUUCAUCUAUGUAGUAUAAUAAGGUUGGAACUCAGGACUAGCUCUGGCCAGCCAGUGAAGUCAUGUGCUUCAGGACUGAAGAAGCAGGGGAAGUUCUCUGAAUUCUCACUUCAUCGUCUACAGCCACCAUAGAAGUCACAUGUUAAGAUAGUAGAACUACAAAUAGCAGCAGUCUUAGAUCUCUUGAUCUUUGCUAUGAAGGGAAUCACCCUGAAAGAUCUGAAUACACCAGACUUCACUGUGGCAAGAAGUAAAACUUAAGCCACUAAAUGUUGAAGUUUGUAUAACUGCAGCAUGGCUUAGCUAUACCAGUAAAACUGAUCUGAGAUUAUUUGUAUAUUUUAUAGCAUAUAUUUAUCAAAAUGGAGAAAAUACCAGAAGAAGUAAUCAGAGAAUGAAUUAAAGAAAAUUCUUUUAAGUUCAGAAGAUUCACUAAUUCCCAGAUUAAACAACAACAACGAAAUAAUCUCCGUUCAUCAGGAUGUCAAAUAUCACAAGGGUUCUCACCAUUGUUCCCCAUCUUCAGAGGCGAUCCCUAGGGUCAAAGGGCUGUGGGAGCCGAUGCAUGAUGGGAAAUUAAAAGGUGGCCUACGGUGGAGAAAACUGGAAAAUAUUAGCUCAGAAGAACAAAGGCAUGCAUGAGAAGCAAGAAGGCAAAACGGGCUACGUGAGAGUAUGGUUAAAUAUGAAGGCAACAAAGCAAAUUGUUGAUCAGCUGACUUAUCCCAAUCAAUUAAGACAGUUGUAAUAAACUAAUUAGUCAUUAGUCAUUCGGUAUACUCAUCAUCUUGCCAUCUAAUUGGGUCGAUUGUUCUUUAGGAUAAUUCACUGUUCAGGA
RNAcentral lists this long non-coding RNA (919 nucleotides) under Papio anubis (olive baboon). Its description in RNAcentral is "lncRNA (ENSPANG00000044511.1)". Lineage: Eukaryota; Metazoa; Chordata; Mammalia; Primates; Cercopithecidae. The record is from RNAcentral.